UGAACGCUGGCGGUAUGCCUAACACAUGCAAGUCGUACGAGAGUUUUUAACUCAAGUGGCGGACGGGUGAGUAACACGUGAGAAUUUGCCUUUAGGAGGGGGAUAACAGAGAGAAAUCGCUGCUAAUACCCCAUAUGCUUUCGAGUGAAAUGAAUUUAUUCGCCUAGAGAGAAGCUCGCGGCUGAUUAGCUUGUUGGUAAGGUAAUGGCUUACCAAGGCGACGAUCAGUAUCUGGUUUGAGAGGACGAUCAGACACACUGGAACUGAGACACGGUCCAGACUCCUACGGGAGGCAGCAGUGGGGAAUUUUGCGCAAUGGGCGAAAGCCUGACGCAGCAAUACCGCGUGAAGGAAGACGGCCUAUGGGUUGUAAACUUCUUUUCUCAGGGAGGAACUCAAUGACGUGUACCUGAGGAAUAAGCAUCGGCUAACUCC
RNAcentral lists this ribosomal RNA (435 nucleotides) under uncultured bacterium. RNAcentral describes it as "bacterial SSU rRNA". It matches the Rfam family "Bacterial small subunit ribosomal RNA", at positions 30 to 504 of the family's 1533-position model. The record is from RNAcentral.